This 481-nucleotide ribosomal RNA is filed under the name uncultured bacterium. RNAcentral describes it as "partial 16S ribosomal RNA". It matches the Rfam family "Bacterial small subunit ribosomal RNA", at positions 28 to 523 of the family's 1533-position model. The record is from RNAcentral.
GACGAACGCUGGCGGCGUGCUUAACACAUGCAAGUCGAGCGAUGAAGUUUUUUCGGAAAUGGAUUAGCGGCGAACGGGUGAGGAACACGUGAAGAAUCUGCCCUCCACUUUGGGAUAACACAGGGAAACCUGUGCUAAUACCGAAUAUUGAAACAUAAGUGGCAUCACUGAGUUUUGAAAGAAUUUCGGUGGGGGAUGACUUCGCGGCCUAUCAGCUAGUUGGGGAGGUAAGGGCUCACCAAGGCAACGCCGGGUAGCCGGCCUGAGAGGGCGACCGGCCACACUGGGACUGAGACACGGCCCGGACUACUACGGGAGGCAGCAGUGGGGAAUAUUGGGCAAUGGAGGAAACUCUGACCCAGCGACGCCGCGUGCGGGAUGAAGGCCUUCGGGUUGUAAACCGCUUUCAGUAGGGAAGAAGCGAAAGUGACGGUACCUACAAAAGAAGCACCGGCUAACUAUGUGCCAGCCGCCGCCGUAA